This 305-nucleotide ribosomal RNA is filed under the name uncultured bacterium. RNAcentral's name for it is "bacterial SSU rRNA". It matches the Rfam family "Bacterial small subunit ribosomal RNA", at positions 334 to 654 of the family's 1533-position model. The record is from RNAcentral.
AACAUCCUACGGGAGGCAGCAGUGGGGAAUAUUGCACAAUGGGGGAAACCCUGAUGCAGCGACGCCGCGUGAGUGAAGAAGUAUUUCGGUAUGUAAAGCUCUAUCAGCAGGGAAGAAGAAGGACGGUACCUGAGUAAGAAGCCCCGGCUAACUACGUGCCAGCAGCCGCGGUAAUACGUAGGGGGCAAGCGUUAUCCGGAAUUACUGGGUGUAAAGGGAGAGUAGGCGGCAAGGUAAGCGAUAUGUGAAAGCCUUAGGCUUAACCAAAGGAUGGCAUAACGAACUAUCUAGCUAGAGUACAGGAG